Leptopilina boulardi is the source of this 683-nucleotide long non-coding RNA. RefSeq lists it as uncharacterized. The record is from RefSeq and is a predicted model, not a curated record. NCBI's taxonomy places the organism in Eukaryota, Metazoa, Arthropoda, Insecta, Hymenoptera, Figitidae. The transcript is spliced from 2 exons.
AAGAUAAUAAAUGUAUCGUUCAAUUAUUGUCUUUUUUAUAUUUUUCUACAUGUCUUUUCUCUCAAAAGAAAUUGACGCAUGUACACCUUUGAAUCAAAAUUGUGAAAAAAGUUCCGAAUGUUGUACUUUAAAAUGUUCACCAAGCAGAAAGAAAUGUAUUCCUGGAAGGGGCUAAAAAAAAUUAUAAUUCAAAAAAAACAAGUAAUAUAUCUUCAUUGGAAUUUUUAUCUACAUGGACGAAGUGUAUAAAAAAAAAUCUCAAAUUUUCUAAAGAAAAUUUUUAUAAAAAUAAAAAUUCUAGCUUAUGAUUUUUAUGCUCUCUUAAUUUGAAUCAGUGAAAUUUCACUGGUGAAAUAGCUAGAAGUCGGUUACUGAAUCAUUUAGUGAAAUUUUCACUGAAAAUCAGUCAUAUAUCACUGAUUUCCAGUAAAAAUUUCACUAAAUGAAUCACUCAAUCUGUAUUAUCGGUAAUGGGUAAAACAAACAGACUGAUUCAUUUAGUAAAAUUUUCACUGGAAAUCAGUGAUAUAUGACUGAUUUUCAGUGAAAAUUUCAUUAAAUGAUUCAGUAACCGACUUCUAGCUAUUUCACCAGUGAAAUUUCACUGAUUCAAAUUAAGAGAGUGGGAUAUUUAUGCGCUUCAAAAAGAUGUAUAAUAUAAAUAAAAAUCAAACCUAAACCUA